This 493-nucleotide ribosomal RNA is filed under the name uncultured bacterium. Its description in RNAcentral is "partial 16S ribosomal RNA". It matches the Rfam family "Bacterial small subunit ribosomal RNA", at positions 29 to 507 of the family's 1533-position model. The record is from RNAcentral.
AACGAACGCUGGCGGCGCGUCUUAAACAUGCAAGUCGAACGGCAGGAAGGGGCUUGCCCCUUCUGAGAGUGGCGGACUGGUGAGUAACACGUGGGUGACAUACCUUUUAGUUGGGGAUAGCUAUUAGAAAUAGUAGGUAAUACCGAAUGUGACCGUACCUGUUAGAGGGGUACGAGGAAAGGAGCUAAGGCUUCGCUAAAAGAAUGGCUCGCGGCCCAUUAUGCUCGUUGGUGAGGUAACGGCCCACCAAGGCGAUGAUGGGUAUCCGGCCUGAGAGGGUGAACGGACACAUUGGGACUGAGAUACGGCCCAGACUUCUACGGGAGGCAGCAGUUAAGAAUAUUCCGCAAUGGGCGAAAGUCUGACGGAGCGACGCCGCGUGGAUGAAGAAUGCCGAAAGGUUGUAAAAUCCUUUUAAGCCUGAUGAAUAAGCACAGUAGGGAAUGAUUGUGCGGUGACCGUAGGGCUUGAAUAAGCACCGGCUAAUUACGUG